Molecule: non-coding RNA, 78 nt
Organism: Potamilus streckersoni
Lineage: Eukaryota; Metazoa; Mollusca; Bivalvia; Unionida; Unionidae
Source: the annotation of a GenBank genome assembly
GACCGCUUAUUUGGCUUAAGUGGUUAGAGCGUCCACUUCGGAAGCGGGAGGUUGCGGGAUCUAACCCUGUCCGGGUCA